UAAAACAGAGUCUUAAAGGAGACAUAACAUGAAAAACCCACUUUUUUAUCCAUUAACACGGUGUGUUUCACAUUUUAAGUGUCUAAGUGAGCAAAAAGGCUUAUAUUAUUCACUGGAGUUGCUAUUUAGAUAUUUAAUAAUUAAGUUUUGGGCAUAUUUGUCCACCCGUUCAGUUUUUACAUUAUCUAUUACAUCAGUAAUUAAUUUAGUGAGGAUAACUACCAAAUAUGGUAAUGGCCCUGGCUAAACACAGAGCCAAUCCGCCAUUUUUUCUUCUCGCUAAGAUUUUUUGUAGUCCUAUUGGAAAAAUGCAGAAUGUCUGGUUAUUUUAGCCACACACAGCUCAAAACUGUUCCUCGUUUUAAGGAAGGGUGGUGUGGCAGUAUUUAAACCCAGGAGCUGAUGACACUACUGCUAAAAAAACACAGAAGAAAAAGUAGUGUGUUUGCGUUUGUUUGUGUGUGUGUGUGUGUGCGUGCGUGCGCGCGCGCGUGGUUCGUUCGUUCUGUCUCCAGGCUAGUGGCUAAGUACUGAGGGCUUCAUCUAUCUAAAAGGAGUUAUUUCCAUCUGAAUUUGGCAUCACCGGGACACAGCAGCAGAGCGAGUCCACAUCCAGAAGACUGGAGCCGUGUUUCACUGACAGGCUGUCAGACUAACGCCCUGAUGAGCUCAGCUGGGACAAACUGGUCUGAUGUUUAGGAACACAGAACGUUCAGAUGUUGGCGUUUCACGUCACCUACUGAGGAAGGAGACCCACCAGUAAAGAGACGGUCUGGACCAGACCAAAAAUAUGGCGAUGACAUCAUGGAACUGGUCUUUGGAAAAGUUUUCCCUGAACCAACUCCGUUUCUAGAUGAGGUAGAGAAGAUCUGCAUCUCACCAACCCUCUGGUCUCAGUAUUCAGACAACGGAGGUCUCCCACUGUUGUCCAGGACCAGUUUGAAGCCCACAUACUGCCCCUCCCUCAUCAUCAGGAAACAUCAAUCCGUAUCCUGAGGACAACAGAAGACGGCAGGAGGACAGGAACUCUGAGACCUAGACACCACCAGCACCGAGACACAAAGCACCUGUGUGCACAAUGCCUGUUUUAACUACUAAAGCCUGUUUAUUAUAUUGUUCUACUUAUUUGCUGUGAGGUUAAUACUUAGAAAAUUUGUAUAUUAAUGUAAACAAUAAAAAAAAUCACUGAU
This is a non-coding RNA of Nothobranchius furzeri (turquoise killifish), 1190 nucleotides long. Lineage: Eukaryota; Metazoa; Chordata; Actinopteri; Cyprinodontiformes; Nothobranchiidae. The record is from RefSeq and is a predicted model, not a curated record.